CCUACGGGAGGCAGCAGUGGGGAAUAUUGCACAAUGGGGGAAACCCUGAUGCAGCGACGCCGCGUGAGCGCAGAAGUAAUUCGUUAUGUAAAGCUCUAUCAGCAGGGAAGAAAAUGACGGUACCUGAGUAAGAAGCCCCGGAUAACUACGUGCCAGCAGCCGCGGUAAUACGUAGGGGGCAAGCGUUAUCCGGAUUUACUGGGUGGAAAGGGAGCGUAGACGGCAGUGCAAGUCUGGAGUGAAAGGCGGGGGCUCAACCCCCGGACUGCUCUGGAAACUGUACGGCUGGAGUGCAGGAGAGGUAAGUGGAAUUCCUAGUGUAGCGGUGAAAUGCGUAGAUAUUAGGAGGAACACCAGUGGCGAAGGCGGCUUACUGGACUGUAACUGACGUUGAGGCUCGAAAGCGUGGGGAGCAAACAGGAUUAGAUACCCCAGUAGUC
This 440-nucleotide ribosomal RNA is filed under the name uncultured bacterium. Its description in RNAcentral is "partial 16S ribosomal RNA". It matches the Rfam family "Bacterial small subunit ribosomal RNA", at positions 338 to 795 of the family's 1533-position model. The record is from RNAcentral.